RNAcentral lists this ribosomal RNA (591 nucleotides) under uncultured bacterium. RNAcentral's name for it is "bacterial SSU rRNA". It matches the Rfam family "Bacterial small subunit ribosomal RNA", at positions 470 to 1059 of the family's 1533-position model. The record is from RNAcentral.
UGACUGUACCCUAAGAAUAAGGUCCGGCUAACUUCGUGCCAGCAGCCGCGGUAAUACGAAGGGACCUAGCGUAGUUCGGAAUUACUGGGCGUAAAGCGCGCGUAGGCCGUUGAGUUAGUUAAUUGUGAAAUCCCAAAGCUUAACUUUGGAACUGCAAUUAAAACUGCUCGACUAGAGUUUGAUAGAGGAAAGCGGAAUACAUAGUGUAGAGGUGAAAUUCGUAGAUAUUAUGUAGAACACCAGUUGCGAAGGCGGCUUUCUGGAUCAACACUGACGCUGAGGCGCGAAAGUAUGGGUAGCAAAGAGGAUUAGAUACCCUCGUAGUCCAUACCAUAAACGAUGAUUGCUAGAUGUUGGAAAUUUAUUUUCAGUAUCGCAGCUAACGCAUUAAGCAAUCCGCCUGGGGAGUACGACCGCAAGGUUAAAACUCAAAUGAAUUGACGGGGACCCGCACAAGCGGUGGAGCAGGUGGUUUAAUUCGAAGAUACGCGCGGAACCUUACCAACCCUUGACAUGUCUGUCGCGAGUUUAGGAAACUAGACUUUUCGGUUCGGCCGGACAGAACACAGGUGCUGCAUGGCUGUCGUCAGC